AUUGAACGCUGGCGGCGUGCUUAACACAUGCAAGUCGAUCGGUAACGCGGGGGCAACCCUCGGCGACGAGAGGCGGACGGGUGAGUAACGCUUGGGAACCGUGCCCACUCAGCGGGGGACGAACCCGGGAAACCCGGGCUAAUACCGCAUACGCUCCACGGAGGAAAGCAGGGGACCGCAAGGCCUUGCACUGAUGGAUGAGCCCAAGCCGGAUUAGCUAGUUGGCGGGGUAACGGCCCACCAAGGCGACGACCGUUAGCUGGUCUGAGAGGACGAUCAGCCACACCGGAACUGAGACACGGUCCGGACUCCUACGGGA
This 319-nucleotide ribosomal RNA is filed under the name uncultured bacterium. RNAcentral's name for it is "bacterial SSU rRNA". It matches the Rfam family "Bacterial small subunit ribosomal RNA", at positions 29 to 346 of the family's 1533-position model. The record is from RNAcentral.